GGGGAUGUGGCGAAAUGGCAGACGCAGCGGACUUAAAAUCCGCAGGGAGCAAUCCCGUGAGGGUUCAAGUCCCUCCAUCCCCA
This 83-nucleotide transfer RNA is filed under the name Hydrogenobaculum sp. Y04AAS1. Its description in RNAcentral is "tRNA-Leu (TAA) (tRNA-Leu-TAA-1-1)". It matches the Rfam family "tRNA". Rfam says of the family: Transfer RNA (tRNA) molecules are approximately 80 nucleotides in length. Their secondary structure includes four short double-helical elements and three loops (D, anti-codon, and T loops). Further hydrogen bonds mediate the characteristic L-shaped molecular structure. tRNAs have two regions of fundamental functional importance: the anti-codon, which is responsible for specific mRNA codon recognition, and the 3' end, to which the tRNAs corresponding amino acid is attached (by aminoacyl-tRNA synthetases). tRNAs cope with the degeneracy of the genetic code in two manners: having more than one tRNA (with a specific anti-codon) for a particular amino acid; and 'wobble' base-pairing, i.e. permitting non-standard base-pairing at the 3rd anti-codon position. RNAcentral also lists the same sequence under 5 other names. Lineage: Bacteria; Pseudomonadati; Aquificota; Aquificia; Aquificales; Aquificaceae. The record is from RNAcentral.